GCAAAGGGAAAGCCUGAACCCUGCAGCGGGGUCUCUAGCCUGGCCCACUCUGGGCUCUUCUGUCCGGUGCCUGGAACGCAGGAGAGCCAAGGAUCUAAGAAUUCUCGUCCCUCAUCCUGCGCUGGCUUCUCUGCCCUAAGGGGCUGGGAGGUGAAGGGAAGACAGGUGUGGGGUCGCCAGGCAGAGGCAGGCAGUGAGAAGGACUGGGGGGACCCCUCCCACGGCAGUCCGGCCCAAGCCUUGGGCUGUGUAGGCCACCUGCUCCCCCUGGAGGCCCUGGAGAGAGGGGCAGGCAGGAGAGCCACACCAGAGGAAGAGCACCGUGGAAGAACAAUUGUGGUCCUUGCUCAGUCGAAGAGUAACCCUGCGUGCUGACACCUGCCAUUGCACCUGGCUUUCACGGUCAGCCGGAAAGGGUGCUGGAGCAACGCCAUCCUGUGUCCUGUAUGCAAUUGUGUGGAAAACAGCUCUGCUCUGAGCAAAGCAGCAUCAAUAUCUACUACUUAGAAACAGAUGAGAGGGCGACUUGGCAGCUGCUCGACAAUCAGACAAAACCUCACUCCGUUGUGUUUCGUGCCUCUAGAUUUUUUUAAAAGGGCCAAGCUUUCCUUCUGCCUCCUGCAUCUCGUAAUUGUCAGUGAGUUCAGUGGUACCUUUCCACAACAUAACUGAUCAACUGCAGGCUCAUGGCUAAUAAACUGAUACAAAAGAACUUAUGAAGACAUAACCUUUAAGCGUGUGAGAUAACAUGCAAUUCAACACGCAGCACAAAGAGCUCCGACGCCCAAGCGAGCCGCCGAGCUCGCAGUGGUUUCUCCAAGCGAAUCUGAGCAUAUGGUCCAUAAUGGAGCUUGAAUUUACAGCAACAGAGAUGUGCAAGGGAGAUUAAAGCUUCAUCUGUAAGGACAUACUGCCUGGCAAAAAACAACAAUUAUUGUAUUUUCUGCUUUGUAUUAUAAGAGACACUCAAAAUCUGUUUUGGUAGAGUGUGGGCUCCCUCUGCUGCUGGCAGGAGACACCGGGACUCCAGGCACUUGGGGCUCCUUGGGCACCUGAGCAGAGCAGGUGGCCUGUCCUGGGAGGAGAAAGAUGAGGCUGAACAUUGCAGAGGGACAGACUUGCUCUGCAGGCUCUGGCCCUGUGGGAUACGGGACUAUCUGUGCUGCCGCACCAAGGAGAAAGAAAUGGAGGGAAGGGAAAAACAACAAGAAACCAUAAGAUGUACUGUUCACACGCCCUGGGUCCAUCCAUUCUGAAAUAUGUCACAGAAGGGAUGCUGAAAGGCAGCUGCCCAGAGUGGCUCCUCUCUCUCUUACACACACACACACUCAUUUCUCUCUCUCCUUCUUUAUUCCACACAGCCACUGCAGAAGCUCCUCUGGUUCUGUUUCAGACCCUGCCAUCAGUUUUGCUAGUUCUCUGGGUUCUGCCUUGUCCAAGGACGGCCAGCAGCUGACUCGUGUGGUGUCAAGGAGAUGCAUCACCCAGGCUUAUCACGUCCUGCAUCAGCAGGCAAAGCAUCUCAGUAGACCUGCCGCACCCCACUCCCAGCCCCCGCCACUGGUUCUUCUUCUCAGCAACAGGACGUUCUAACGCAGCGGCCAUGCCAAGAGCAGAAGCAUUUUAAUGCCACAACUUUGAUGUGUCCGUUUUGACCAAACCAAAAAAUAAAGCCUUAACCCAAGCUGUUUCUAUUACCAAGAUACAUGUGACAGAUCAUAAACCCUAAGCCCUGGAGACAGACUGGGGCGUGGGGAGUGGAUGAGGCUCAGGGGCAGGGGUCAGACAGCACACUCUUUGAAACUAGGACCAUGCUUGCCCCUCUUAGAACCAUCAACCAAGAAAACAGCUCAUUCUCUCAUAAUUUGGUUAUUUACAUUGUCA
RNAcentral lists this long non-coding RNA (1884 nucleotides) under Equus asinus (donkey). RNAcentral describes it as "lncRNA (ENSEASG00005027163.1)". The record is from RNAcentral. Lineage: Eukaryota; Metazoa; Chordata; Mammalia; Perissodactyla; Equidae.